UUCCUACGGGGCGCAGCAGUGGGGAAUACUGCGCAAUGGGCGAAGGCCUGACGCAGCGACGCCGCGUGAGGGAUGAAGGUCUUCGGAUCGUAAACCUCUGUCAGCAGGGAAGAACGGUCACUGUGCUAAUCAGCAGCGAAUUGACGGUACCUGCAAAGGAAGCACCGGCUAACUCCGUGCCAGCAGCCGCGGUAAUACGGAGGGUGCGAGCGUUAACCGGACUUACUGGGCGUAAAGCGCUCGUAGGCGGUAUGUCAAGUCAAGGGUGAAGUCCCCGCGCUCAACGUGGGAAC
This 293-nucleotide ribosomal RNA is filed under the name uncultured bacterium. Its description in RNAcentral is "partial 16S ribosomal RNA". It matches the Rfam family "Bacterial small subunit ribosomal RNA", at positions 336 to 621 of the family's 1533-position model. The record is from RNAcentral.